GGUAGGAUGGCCGAGUGAGGCGGUGAGCUGUAGACUCACCUACGGAGGUGAGAGUCCUCCUACUG
Gekko japonicus is the source of this 65-nucleotide non-coding RNA. The record is from the annotation of a RefSeq genome assembly. Lineage: Eukaryota; Metazoa; Chordata; Lepidosauria; Squamata; Gekkonidae.